Molecule: transfer RNA, 72 nt
Filed under: Danio rerio (zebrafish)
Lineage: Eukaryota; Metazoa; Chordata; Actinopteri; Cypriniformes; Danionidae
Rfam family: tRNA
About the family: Transfer RNA (tRNA) molecules are approximately 80 nucleotides in length. Their secondary structure includes four short double-helical elements and three loops (D, anti-codon, and T loops).
Source: Rfam by way of RNAcentral
GGCUCGUUGGUCUAGGGGUAUGAUUCUCACUUCGGGUCUGAGAGUUCCCGGGUUCAAAUCCCGGACGAGCCC